AAGAACGCUCAGAGCCUUCCUCUGCUUCCUCCUCCGCGCAUCCCACCUCCUCCGCCUCGGCCUCCGCCUGCCCAAAAGCCUCGCUGUUCAUCUGCCUCUGGCAUCUCGGUCUCGUUCCCGAGCGGCACCAGGCUCCCCGCCGCUGACCAGGCGUUGUCCCUGACGCUGGCCCGCUCGGUCGCGAGGGAGAUCUCGGCGGACUUUGGCGGGGUCGACGGCGCGGCGAAGAAGGAGAGCCUGCUGCAUUUUUUCUCUCUUUUUUUCAACGAAGCGCGCUUUUUCUUCCCGCUUCUGCCUCUCUCUUCCUCAAGCACUCCUCUCCUCUCUGUCCCGAGCCCUCUCACUCACCCCAAGCGCCCCCCUCCUCUCUUGCUCGAGCCCUCUCACUCACCCUAACCGCUUCCCUCCUCGCCUCUCUCCUCGUCGCCGUCAUCGACUUUCCAGCCGCGGCUCCAGAAAUCGCCGGCUGCCGACUGGCCUCUCGAGCUUCUUUGAAGCAAAAGAGGUUUGCGAGGCUAGAUAUACUGGUGGCGGUGCUAAGUUUUGGGGUUUCGGCGACGCCGUGACGGCCGCGAGGGAUGUUGUGGUGGAGGAGAGAGAGGCGUAUGGGUACCGUAAGACCUCUCUUUCUCCUUUGCCUUUUUUUUUCUUUUCUAUCGCCUCUGUCUCGCCGGAGUAAGAGCGUGGAGCAGAACGUCGAGCGCAGCGAGGCGAAGGGGGAGAGAGGCAAUGUCUACUUCGCCCGAUGCAGAUUCAGUCGACGCCCUUCGCUCCUAGAUCCAUUCUCUCCAGACGACAAUCAACGAGCUGGAGAAGCAGAACGCCGACCUUUCUUCUCGACUCUCUGGAUGUUGCUGUCAAAAGAUGGAAGACAAGAUUGGUUGUGUCAUAGACGGAGGUAGAGUGGUCGAUGUGAAUGGCAAAUCAAUGAAGCUGGACAAGAAGACUAGGAAGAAAAA
Eucalyptus grandis is the source of this 959-nucleotide long non-coding RNA. RefSeq lists it as uncharacterized. The transcript has 3 exons. The record is from RefSeq and is a predicted model, not a curated record. Lineage: Eukaryota; Viridiplantae; Streptophyta; Magnoliopsida; Myrtales; Myrtaceae.